Eufriesea mexicana is the source of this 1186-nucleotide long non-coding RNA. RefSeq lists it as uncharacterized. Lineage: Eukaryota; Metazoa; Arthropoda; Insecta; Hymenoptera; Apidae. The transcript has 4 exons. The record is from RefSeq and is a predicted model, not a curated record.
CCGGAAACGGGACCACGUACCGGUAGCUGGUCGCUGGAGCUCUUAUUAAAGCGAGUCACGCUGUAAUUCUUCGCGAUCCGCGUUUCAAAGGGCGGCGAACUAUAACGAUUUCAUUAGUCCUAGCUCACGACGCGGAAUUCCCGUGCACAGGUCGUCUCUGCGAGUCGUUUCAUUCGAGUCCCUCUCCGGCUCACGGCCAAUGAAAAUGCGAUCGAGCUUCUGCUUCAGGGCCUUCUCUGCUCGCUCGUUUUCUGUGUCUGCCGGAGGCCAGCUCGAUUAAUCGUCGAUGGAAGCUCGCUGGAAGAAAGUUAUCAGGAUAAUCUUAGAAGUGGCGCUUGAGAAAAGGAAUAAUUAUCAAUGAUGAUGAAACAGCUCCCACGGUGAAAAAGUUAUAAGACUAAGCAUUUCAGUGGAACCAGCCACGGUGUCACUGUGCAGAAUCCCCAUGCACAAUGAACACGAGUCCAACGAGUUACCGCAAUGAUGUCGUUUCCUACCCGGAAGCGUUGACCAGGGUAUCGUAAAGAAGUUCAGAGGAGCUUCGAAAAUGUUCACCGGCAAGCUAGUUCUUACCUGUGCAUGCCUGAAAGAAAUUGAAUCCACAGUUUCGCGGGAAACACCAGAGGUCUGGCAACGUUCGAGUUCUGUGAACAUCUUGAAGCCAUCUUGGCACAGCCAUUAAAGAGAUCAACGAGCUAAUAGGAUCAUAAUAAGAACUAACGGGUCCAUUGGAAUGUUCAAUCACUUCUCCAACCACCGGUUACGGUAACUUAAGGGUCUGCAAUACUACUUAAAGGAAAGAAUAUAAAUUUUCUUUUCUUAAAACUGCUCACGUGACUAUCGAAUUUCUGAUGGAAUGUUAAAGUUCUAUAUCCAUGAAAGGAAACCAUUUCUCAACGGAAUCUUCGUACAGUAAAGCCAGCAGAAGAAAAGAAGGGAAAAGAAAGGACGUGAAGGAAGUUUCGCAGAGACGUAAUAACUCUGGUAAAGAUUAGACGGAUAAGGGGGAACCGUCAAGACGUCUACCUCGCGAGAUAAGAUUCGGCAAAGAUGCUUUGAAGGCUUUGGUAUCGGUAAUGCAACUUUGACCGACCAUUCGUGCAGUAUCGAAUCGCUCAAUUACCAGGUUCAGGUAUAAACCGUGCAACGAGUCGCGUAUGCGGCGAAAAGGAAGUGAGAAAAUGGA